Molecule: ribosomal RNA, 562 nt
Filed under: Staphylococcus aureus
Lineage: Bacteria; Bacillati; Bacillota; Bacilli; Caryophanales; Staphylococcaceae
Description: bacterial SSU rRNA
Rfam family: Bacterial small subunit ribosomal RNA
Source: RNAcentral
ACGGCUUACCAAGGCAACGAUGCAUAGCCGACCUGAGAGGGUGAUCGGCCACACUGGAACUGAGACACGGUCCAGACUCCUACGGGAGGCAGCAGUAGGGAAUCUUCCGCAAUGGGCGAAAGCCUGACGGAGCAACGCCGCGUGAGUGAUGAAGGUCUUCGGAUCGUAAAACUCUGUUAUUAGGGAAGAACAUAUGUGUAAGUAACUGUGCACAUCUUGACGGUACCUAAUCAGAAAGCCACGGCUAACUACGUGCCAGCAGCCGCGGUAAUACGUAGGUGGCAAGCGUUAUCCGGAAUUAUUGGGCGUAAAGCGCGCGUAGGCGGUUUUUUAAGUCUGAUGUGAAAGCCCACGGCUCAACCGUGGAGGGUCAUUGGAAACUGGAAAACUUGAGUGCAGAAGAGGAAAGUGGAAUUCCAUGUGUAGCGGUGAAAUGCGCAGAGAUAUGGAGGAACACCAGUGGCGAAGGCGACUUUCUGGUCUGUAACUGACGCUGAUGUGCGAAAGCGUGGGGAUCAAACAGGAUUAGAUACCCUGGUAGUCCACGCCGUAAACGAUGAGU